Molecule: long non-coding RNA, 6821 nt
Organism: Sarcophilus harrisii (Tasmanian devil)
Lineage: Eukaryota; Metazoa; Chordata; Mammalia; Dasyuromorphia; Dasyuridae
Source: Ensembl
CCUUAAUAUUUUGGUGUAUAUAAAACCAUUUCUUAUAGAGAACUGGAUAAGAAGAAUUGCCCCAAGCAACUAACUCUAGAUAUAGCUCUUGCAGAAAUGUCUUGAGUAUAUCUCCAUUGAUAACAGACAAACAAGAAGACUUCUAAUAAAAGAUAGUAAAGAAAAAAAAGGAAAAGAUUAAAUCUUUUCCAUGAUAGUGCAGCAAUAUAUCAAAUGAGUACUGUAAUAAAAAAUAAGAAAAUAAUUUCAAAAUAUCCCAAACAAUACUAUUGCCAAACAUUUGCAAAUGCACCUUCGAUCUAAAUACCCAUCCUAUUGGUUCUAUUUCUACAAUACUUCUACUUGUUUUCCUUCCAGUCACCCUAGUUUAGAUGCUCAGUACCUAUCACCUAUAUUGUGCUAUCACUUAAAUGUUCUCUCUGUCUCCAGCAUCAAUCCUUACAACUUUUAUUUUAUAGCCAAAAUGAUUUUUUGAAUAGUUUUCACCAUCUCACUCCACUACUUAAAAACUUUUGAUGCUUCCUAUCGUUGAGUUUAAUAUUUAAGGAGCUCCCUAAUCUGGUUUCAACCUCGUCCUCUUAUGUCACUUUCAAAACUAGAUUAACUGUUUUCCCAUCUCAUCCUAUAUAAUACAGUCUCCAUACAUUCGCAUAAUGCAUUACCUGUAAAUGAAAUGAUUCUACUGCCUUUUCCCUGCCAACUGAAAUUAUUCUUCUUCUUCAAGGCCAAGCUAAAAUGUAUAUCCUAUCUUUUUUUCCCUUUUCCUUAUUCCUUCUUUCAUUUGAACCCUGCAUAAAAACACCCUUUAUGAUGGGAGCAAAAAUUUUUGGUAAACAUAUAUUGCUCUUUUUAAAAAAUCCUAAUGUUGACAGAACAUGUGUUGGACAAAGUUGUCUCUAGAGUUGCAGCCACCAAGAAGUCUUAUAUUAUUUUAAAAUACCCACAAUAUAUGCAGCAAGAAAACCUUUCUCUUUAAACUGUUAAAGUUUUGAAGGAAGGGACUAUGUUACUUGAACAUAGUAGGCAUUUGAUAAGUAUUUGACACUUACUUAGCAAUUAGGGACCUACUAUAUUCUUCCUCCCAUCUAAAGAAAAUCUGAGAAAGAAAAUAUAAUGCAAGCAAAUAACAGAAAAAGUGAGAAUGCUAUGUUGUGUUCCACACUCAGUUCCCAUAGUCUUUUCUCUGGGUGUAGAUGGCUUUCUUCAUCACUGAACAAGUGGAACUGGUUUGAAUAAUCUCAUUGUUGAAGACAGCCACAACCAUGAAAAUUGAUCAUCAUAUAGUCUUGUUGCCAUGUAUAAUGAUCUCCUGGUUCUGUUCAUUUCACUUAGCAUCAACUCAUGCAGGUCUCUCUAAGACUCUCUGAAAUCAUCCUACUGGUCGUUUUUUACAGAAAAAAAAAGUAUCCCCUAGUGUUCAUAUACCAUAAUUUAUUCAGUCAUUCUCCAAUUGUUGGGCAUCCACUCAGUUUCCAGUUUUUUGCAAUUAUAAAGAGGGCUGCCACAAACAUUUUUGCACAUAUCAUUUGCUUCUGACAAAUUACAAUACUCAUCUAUGUUUUAAAAAUCUCUCCAAAAUAUGGAUACAACAGGGCCAUUUUUGGCAUAGUGUGCUACUUCUCUAUUGGUAUAGUUGUAAAUUGGUCUAAACAUUCUGGAAAUCGUUCUAUUACUCUGCCAAGAGGCUAAAAUUUCCACAUACUAUGACAUUAAGAUUCUACUGUUAAGCACAUACCCAAAGAGAGUCAAGGAUAUAAAGAUAAGUCCCCAAAAUUCCAAAUCUUUACAGAAGUACCUACUAUAGUAACAAAGAAUUAGAAACAAGCUAAAUGCACUUUAAUGUAUAAUAUAUAAUUUAUAAACAAAAUAUGUGCCAUAAGAAAUAAUGGAUGUGGAGAAUUCAAAUAAACAUGGGAAGGUAAAUAACUUGAUAAAAACUAAAAUAAUCAGAAACAGGAAAAAUAUACAUGAUAACUAUGAUAAUAUAAAUAAAUAACAACAAGACAACCUGAGUAUGGUGUAAUAAAGCAUAAGAACUGUGUCCUCAGAAAAGAAAUGAAAAAAAAUUUACUUCUCUUACUUUUUGGCAGAUAUUGUGGCCUGGGGAUAGAAUGCAUAAAAUAUACAGUGGAUAAAGAAUGCAUUUUUUAUUCUGACAAAACUUUUAUUUUAAAUGAUUGUUAUAGCUUUUUAUUUAUACAACAUAUCUAUAGCUAAUUUUUCAACAAUGACCCUUGCAAAACCUGUUCCAACUUUUCCCUCUACUCCCUCUCCUAUAUGGAAGGUAGUCCAAAACAUGUUAAAUAUGCUAAAUUAUAUGUUAAAUGCAAUAUAUAUAUACAGUUAUCUUGAUAUACAAGAAAAAUUCAAUCUAGAAAGAAAGAAAAAAAUCUGAAAAGGAAAACAAGAAUGUAAGCAAACAAUAACAGAAAGAAUAGAAAUGCUAUGUUGUGGUUCACACUCAUUUUCCAUAGUGUUCUCUCUGGAUGUAGCUGAUUCUCUUCAUUACUAAACAAUUGGAACUGGUUUGAAUCAUGUCAAUUGUUGAAGAGAGCCAUAUCCAUCAGAACUGAUCAUCAUAUAAUCUUGUUGUUGCUGUGUAUAAUGAUCUCCUGGUUCUGCUUAUUUCACUUAGCAUCAAUUCAUGUAAGUCUCUCCAAGCCUCUUUGAAAUCAUCCUACUGGUCAUUUCUAACAGAACAAUAUUCCAUAACAUUCAUAUAUCACAAUUUAUUCAGCCACUCUCCAAUUGAUGGGCGUCCAUUCAAUUUCCAGUUUCUAGCCACUACAAAAAGGCUGCCAAAAACAUUUUUGCAUGUGUGGGUCACUUUCCCUCCUUUAAGAUCUCUUUGGGAUGUAAGCUCAGUAGUAAGACUGCUAGGUCAAAGGGAUUGCACAGUUUGAUAAUUUUUUGAACAUAGUUCCAAAUUGCUCUCCAGAAUGAUUGGAUUCAUUCACAGUUCCACUAAAAAUGUAUCAGUGUACCAGUUUUCCCACAUCCCCUCCAACAUUUGUUAUUAUCUUUUCCUGACAUCUUAGCCAAUCUGAGAGGUAUGAAGUGGUAUCUCGGAGUUGUCUUAAUUUGAACUUCUCUGAUUAAUAAUGAUUGGGAGCACCUUUUCAUAUGACUGGAUAUAGUUUCAAUUUCUUCAUAAGAAAAUUGUCUAUUCAUAUCCUUUGACCAUUUAUCAACUGGAAAAUGGCUUGAUUUCUUUUUUUUUCUUUCUUUUUUUUUAUUUAAUAGCUUUUUAUUUACAGGUUAUAUGUAUGGGUAACUUUACAGCAUUAACAAUUGCCAAACCUCUUGUUCCAAUUUUUCACCUCUUACCCCACCCACCUCCUCCCCCAGAUGGCAGGAUGACCAGUAGAUGUAAAAUAUAUUAAUAUAUAAAUUAGGUACAUAAUAAGUAAGUAUACAUGACCAAACUAUUGUUUUGCUGUACAAAAAGAAUCAAGACUCUGAAAUAUUGUACAAUUAGCUUGUGAAGGAAAUCAAAAAUGCAGGUGGGCAUGAAUAUAGGGAUUGGGAAUUCAAUGUAAUGGUUUUUAGUCAUCUCCCAGAGUUCUUUCUCUGGGUAGCUGGUUCAGUUCAUUACUGCUCCAUUGGAAAUGAUUUGGUUGAUCUCGUUGCUGAGGAUGGCCAGGUCCAUCAGAACUGGUCAUCAUAUAGUAUUGUUGUUGAAGUGUAUAAUGAUCUCCUGGUCCUGAUCGUUUCACUCAGCAUCAGUUCAUGUAAGUCUCUCCAGGAAUGGCUUGAUUUCUUAUAAAUUACAGCCAAUUCUCUAUAUAUUUUGGAUAUGAGGCCUUUAUCAGAACCUUUGACUAUAAAAAAUGUUUUCCCAAUUUAUUACUUCCCUUCUAAUCUUAUCUGCAUUAGUUUUGUUUGUACAAAUAUAUAUAUUAAAAAUAUAAUCAAAAUUCUCUAUUUUGUAAUCAAUAAUCAUCUUUAGUUCUUCUUUGGUCAUAAAUCCCUUCCUCUUCCACAGGUCUGAGAGUUAAACUAUCUUAUGUUCUUCUAACUUAUUUAUAAUCUCAUUCUUUAUGUCUAGAUCAUGAACCCAUUGACCUUAUCUUGGUAUGCGAUGUUAAGUGUGGGUCAAUGCCUAAUUUCUGCCAUACUAGUUUCCAAUUUUCACAGCGGUUUUUGUCAAAUAGUGAAUUCUUAUCCCAAAGCUGGGGUCUUUGGGUUUGUCAAACACAAAAUUGCUAUAGUUAUUGCCUAUUUUGUCCUAUGAACUUAACCUAUUCCACUGAUCAACUAGUCUGUUUCUUAGCCGGUACCAAAUGGUUUGGAUGGCUGCCUUUAUAAUAUAGUUUUAGAUCUGGUACAGCUUGGUCACCUUCAUUUGAUUUUUUUCAUUAGUUCCCUUGAAGUUCUUGACCUUGUUAUUUUUUCUAGAUCAGUAAAAUACUUGGGAAUUUGAUUAGUAUAGCACUAAAUAAAUAGAUUAGUUUAGGUAAUGUUGUCAUCUUUAUUAUAUUCACUCGACCUAUCCAAGAGCACUUAAUAUUUUUCUAAUUGUUUAGAUCUUACUUUAUUUGUGUGGAAAGUGAUUUGUAGUUUUGCUCAUUAGUUCCUGACUUUCCUUUGGCAGAUAAAUUCCCAAAUAUUUUAUACUAUCAACAGUUAUUUUAAAUGGAAUUUCUCUCUGUAUCUCAUGCUUUUGGAUUUUGUUAGUGAUGUAUAAAAAUGCUGAUGAUUUAUUUGGAUUUAUUUCGUAUCCUGCAACUUUGCUAAAGUUGUAGAUUAUUUCUAAUAGCUUUUUAGUAGAAUCUUGGGGUUCUCUAAGUAUACCAUGAUAUCAUCUCAAAAGAGUGAUAAUUUGGUUUCCUUGUUACUACUCUGAUUCCUUUAAUCUCUUUUUUCGUCUUGUAUUGCCAAAGCUAGCAUUUCUAAUACAAUAUUGAAUAGUAAUGUUCAUAGUGGGCAACCCUGUUUCACUCCUCAUCUUACUGGGAAUGGUUCCAGUUUAUCCCCAUUACAUAUGAUGCUUGCUGACGGUUUUAAAUAGAUGCUCCUGACUAUUUUAAGGAAAAGUCCAUUUAUUCCUAUAUUGUCUUGUGUUUUUAAUAGGAAUGGAUGUUGGAUUUUAUCAAAUGCUUUUUCUACAUCUAUUGAGGUGAUCAUAUGAUUUUUGUUAAUUUGCUUAUUGAUAGAGUCAAUUAUGCUAAUAGUUUUCCUAAUAUUGAACCAGCCCUGCAUUCCUGGUACAAAUACUACUGACCAACUACUUGGUCAUAGUGUAUUAUCCUGGGGAUGAUUUUCUGUAAUCGUUUUGCUAAUAUUUUAUUUAAGAUUUUAGCAUUGAUAUUCAUUAGGGAGAUUGGUCUAUAAUUUUCUUUCUCUGUUUUGAGCCUACCUGAUUUAGGUAUCAGUACCAUGUCUGUGUCAUAAAAGGAGUUUGGUAGGAUGCCUUCAAUCCCUAUUUUUUCAAAUAGUUUAUAUAGCAUUGGAGUUAAUUGUUCUUUAAAUGUUUGGUAGAAUUCACAUAUAAAUCUAUCUGGUCCUGGGGAUUUUUUCUUAGGGAGUUGGUUAAUAGCUUGUUCUAUUUCUUUUUCUAAGAUGGGACUCUUUAGGAUAUUUACUUCUUUCUCUGUUAAUCUGGGCAAGCUAUAUUUUGAAGAUAUUCUUCCAUUUCAUUUAAGUUGUCAUUAUUGCCAUAAAGUUGGGCAAAGUAAUUCCUAAUUAUUGCUCUAAUUUCCUCUUCAUUAGUGGAGAGUUCUCCUUUUCAUUUUUUAAGACUAACAAUUUUGAUUUUCCUCUUCCCUUUUUAAUCAAAUUUACUAAGGGUUUGUCUAUUUUGUUGGUUUUUCAUAGAACCAACUCUUAGUUUUAUUAAUUAAUUCAAUAGUUUUUUUACUUUCAAUUUUAUUGAUUUCUCCUUUUAUUUUUAGAAUUUCAAGUUUAGUGUUUGACUGGGGGGGGUUAAUUUGUUCCUUUUCUAGCAUUUUUAGUUGCAAGCCCAAUUCGUUGACCUUCUCUUUCUCUGUUUUAUGCAAGUAGGCCUCUAGAGAUACGAAAUUUCCCCUUAUUACCGCUUUGGCUGCAUCCCACACAUUUUGAUGUGAUGUCUCAUUAUUGUCAUUUUCUUGGGUGAAGUUAUUAAUUAUGUCUAUGAUUUGCUAUUUCACCCAAUCAUUCUUUAGUAUGAGAUUAUUUAGUUUCCAAUUAUUUUUUGUUCUACUUUCCCCUGGCUUUUUGUUGAGUAUAAUUUUUAUUGCAUCGUGGUCUGAAAAGGAUGCAUUUACUAUUUCUGCCUUACUGCAUUUGAGUUUGAGGUUUUUAUGUCCUAAUAUAUGGUCUAUUUUUGUAUAGGUUCCAUGAACUGCUGAAAAAGAAAGUGUACUCCUUUCUGUCUCCAUUUCGUUUUCUCCAGAGAUCUAUCAUAUCUAACUUUUCUAGUACCUCUUUGACUUCAUUCUUAUUUAUUUUGUGGUUUGAUUUAUCUAAUUCUGAGAGUGCAAGGUUGAGAUCUCCCACCAUUAUGGCUUUGCUGUCUAUUUCCUCCUGCAGCUUUCUUAAUUUCUCUUUUAAGAAUUUAGAUGCUACCACUUGGUGCAUAUAUGUUUAAUAUUGAUAUUGCUUCAUUAUUUAUGCUACCCUUUAGCAAGAUAUAGUGCCCUUCCUUGUCUCUUUUAAUUAGAUCAAUUUUUGUUUUUGCUUGAUCUGAGAUCUUGAUGGCUACCCCUGCUUUUUUGACUUCACCUGAAGCAUAGUAGAUUUUGUUCCAUCCUUUUACCUUUAUUUUGCAUGUAUCUCCCUGCUUCAUGUGUGUUUCCUAUAAACAACAUAUUGUAGGAUUCUGGCUUUUAAUCCAUUCU